RNAcentral lists this ribosomal RNA (373 nucleotides) under uncultured organism. Its description in RNAcentral is "bacterial SSU rRNA". It matches the Rfam family "Bacterial small subunit ribosomal RNA", at positions 526 to 897 of the family's 1533-position model. The record is from RNAcentral.
CAGAGGUCCCAAGCGUUGUUCGGAUUCACUGGGCGUAAAGGGUGCGUAGGUGGCCAGGUAAGUUCGGUGUGAAAGCUCGGAGCUUAACUCCGAAAUGGCAUUGAAUACUAUCUGGCUGGAGGGUCGGAGGGGAGACUGGAAUUCUCGGUGUAGCAGUGAAAUGCGUAGAUAUCGAGAGGAACACCAGUGGCGAAGGCGAGUCUCUGGACGACUCCUGACACUGAGGCACGAAAGCCAGGGGAGCAAACAGGAUUAGAUACCCUGGUAGUCCUGGCUGUAAACGGUGCACGUUUGCUGUAAGAGGAAUCGACCCCUUUUGUGGCGAAGCUAACGCGAUAAACGUGCCGCCUGGGGAGUACGGUCGCAAGAUUAA